This 86-nucleotide microRNA precursor is filed under the name Loxodonta africana (African savanna elephant). RNAcentral's name for it is "microRNA 193a (ENSLAFG00000024324.2)". The stretch from base 11 to 82 matches the Rfam family "mir-193 microRNA precursor family". Lineage: Eukaryota; Metazoa; Chordata; Mammalia; Proboscidea; Elephantidae. The record is from RNAcentral.
GAGGACGGGAGCUGAGGGCUGGGUCUUUGCGGGCGAGAUGAGGGUGUCGUUUCAACUGGCCUACAAAGUCCCAGUCCUCGGCCCCC